UACGUAGGUGGCAAGCGUUGUCCGGAUUUAUUGGGCGUAAAGGGCGUGCAGGCGGUCUGUUUAGUCUAGGGUGAAAGCUCGGGGCUCAACCCCGAGUCGGCCGUGCGAACUGGGCUCACUGGAGCAUAGUAGAGGCAGGUGGAAUUCCGGGUGUAGCGGUGGAAUGCGUAGAGAUCCGGAAGAACACCGGUGGCGAAGGCGGCCUGCUGGGCUAUGGCUGACACUGAGGCGCGACAGCGUGGGGAGCAAACAGG
Molecule: ribosomal RNA, 254 nt
Filed under: uncultured bacterium
Lineage: Bacteria
Description: partial 16S ribosomal RNA
Rfam family: Bacterial small subunit ribosomal RNA
Source: RNAcentral